ACGGGAGGCAGCAGUGGGGAAUAUUGGACAAUGGGGGCAACCCUGAUCCAGCGACGCCGCGUGAGUGAAGAAGUAUUUCGGUAUGUAAAGCUCUAUCAGCAGGGAAGAAAAUGACGGUACCUGGCUAAGAAGCCCCGGCUAACUACGUGCCAGCAGCCGCGGUAAUACGUAGGGGGCAAGCGUUAUCCGGAUUUACUGGGUGUAAAGGGAGCGUAGACGGCGAUGCAAGUCUGAAGUGAAAGCCCGCGGCUUAACUGCGGAACUGCUUUGGAAACUGUAUUGCUAGAGUGUCGGAGAGGUGAGUGGAAUUCCCAGUGUAGCGGUGAAAUGCGUAGAUAUUGGGAGGAACACCGGUGGCGAAGGCGGCUCACUGGACGAUAACUGACGUUGAUGCUCGAAAGCGUGGGGAGCAAACAGGAUUAGAUACCCUGGUA
This 434-nucleotide ribosomal RNA is filed under the name uncultured Lachnospiraceae bacterium. Its description in RNAcentral is "partial 16S ribosomal RNA". It matches the Rfam family "Bacterial small subunit ribosomal RNA", at positions 341 to 792 of the family's 1533-position model. Lineage: Bacteria; Bacillati; Bacillota; Clostridia; Lachnospirales; Lachnospiraceae. The record is from RNAcentral.